RNAcentral lists this ribosomal RNA (512 nucleotides) under uncultured bacterium. Its description in RNAcentral is "partial 16S ribosomal RNA". It matches the Rfam family "Bacterial small subunit ribosomal RNA", at positions 29 to 523 of the family's 1533-position model. The record is from RNAcentral.
AACGAACGUUAGCGGCGCGCCUAACACAUGCAAGUCGGACGCGACUGGGGGCAACUCCAGUUGAGUGGCGCACGGGUGAGUAACACGUAGGUAAUCUCCCCUCGAGUGGUGGAUAACCUUCCGAAAGGAGGGCUAAUACAGCAUAAGACCACGGCCUCGAAAGAGGCUGAGAGCAAAACGGAGGAUCGCAAGACUUCGCGCUUGAGGAUGAGCCUGCGGCCCAUCAGGUAGUUGGCGGAGUAACAGCCCACCAAGCCUAAGACGGGUAGCUGGUAGGAGACGAGGGUCAGCCACACUGGAACUGGGGCACGGUCCAGACUCCGACGGGAGGCGGCAGUGGGGAAUCUUGCGCAAUGGACGAAGGUCUGACGCAGCGACGCCGCGUGGGUGAUGAAGGCCUUCGGGUUGUAAAGCCCUGUGGGGAGGGACGAAUAAGUUGCAGCUAAUACCUGCAGCGAUGACGGUACCUCCUUAGCAAGCACCGGCUAACUCUGUGCCAGCAGCCGCCGUAA